AUUGAACGCUGGCGGCAUGCCUUACACAUGCAAGUCGAACGGCAGCACGGGAGCAAUCCUGGUGGCGAGUGGCGAACGGGUGAGUAAAGUAUCGGAACGUGCCCAGUCGUGGGGGAUAACGUAGCGAAAGUUACGCUAAUACCGCAUACGAUCUAUAGAUGAAAGCGGGGGAUCGCAAGACCUCGCGCGAUUGGAGCGGCCGAUAUCAGGUGUAGGUAGUUGGGGGGGUAAAGGCUCACCAAGCAGACGAUCUGUAGCUGGUCUGAGAGGACGACCGGCCACACGGGGACUGAGACACGGCCCAGACUCCUACGGGAUGCAGCAGUGGGGAAUUUUGGACAAUGGGCGAAAGCCUGAUCCAGCCAUGCCGCGUGCAGGAUGAAGGCCUUCGGGUUGUAAACUGCUUUUGUACGGAACGAAAAGGUUUGGCCUAAUAAGCUGAGCUCAUGACGGUACCGUAAGAAUAAGCACCGGCUAACUACGUGCCAGCCGCCGCCGUAG
RNAcentral lists this ribosomal RNA (501 nucleotides) under uncultured bacterium. Its description in RNAcentral is "partial 16S ribosomal RNA". It matches the Rfam family "Bacterial small subunit ribosomal RNA", at positions 30 to 523 of the family's 1533-position model. The record is from RNAcentral.